UCAUGAUUAGCUUCUUACUUCUGGCAAUUGUAUUUAUGCUUCAAAAUUUAUUAACGUUGUGUUAAUUUGUGAAGACUGUCAUGAUGAACAAAAUGUGUAAGAAUCAUAAAUUUUUGUUGGCCACAGAUUUUAUUUUCUGUAAUAUUUCAAAAGCCAAUGGAAAAAUGCAAUGUUUUUUUUGUUUUUUUUUUUGUUUUUUGUCGAGGGAAUCAGGGUGAUGCUAACUUCUGGGCUGGCCAACACAAAUACAUCACCGCUGCAGCAAUGUAUCACAAAUAAAACCAAGAGAUGUUCUGUUAAAGAGGCUCCCACUCAUGGUCAGGAUGAUGUACGCAAGAAUAUAUUUUAAAUAACAAGUAAACCGAGAGCAGUGAACAAAGAAAACUUUCCCAAAAUCCAGUCCCUGUGAUUUAUGUUAAAACCAUACAUCUCUAAGACAGUUUAUUUCAGGGGCUUUCAAUCCUUCCAAACAUCUCCGAGCCAAGAGUCUUACUGUCGAACACAAGCAGCUGUUUAGAGAAAAGCAGGAUAGCCAGAGGCACAACAAGAGAAUGCAAAUCUCACAAAAACACUGGCACAGCACCUAGACAAACAUCUGUGAUGGGGUGCUGUCACACUGCGUCUGUGCAGUGGAGGAGGAAUCCCAACUCCUUUAAAAUUGUCUCUGUUUUAGGCUCAUCUUGCUCCGGCUAAUCCAUCCUGACAGUGUAGAUUGCUCAUAACAGCUAUGCUAGAGUAUCUGCAAAACAAACAUGCCCUUCUUCAGUCAUUGGAUUGCUAGUCAAACAUCUUGAAAAUGGUGUGAUUCUUGAUUAAGACUCUGGGACAGGAUAAUUAGCCCUGCAGAGAAAAUACCUAGUAACCUUUUGAUGUUUGCAAAUAGCUUGUUUUAUACUCCAGGUUCUCGGUUUUGUAAAGAAACCCUUAUGAUAAUUAUUGUUGGUGAAAUUAUUGAGUCUGAAAUAGAUGGUGAUGCACAAAGCUAUUGUACUUUUUUUCCCCCAGCUGUCUGAACAAUUGCUUAGAUCAGCUGUUUAGACAAAGGUUGGGCACGGAAUCCGCCAAUUAUUGUCUGUUCUCCAACUAAAAAAAACCCCAAAAACAUUAAAUAAUAUUAACUUUCCCCUUUGCCAAAGCUAAAGUUAAGAAGCCAAUUGUUUGUCAAAUAAAAAACUGUCAUUUUAAAUGAUAAUAUUUCA
Long non-coding RNA from Cyprinus carpio (common carp), 1199 nucleotides. The record is from Ensembl. NCBI's taxonomy places the organism in Eukaryota, Metazoa, Chordata, Actinopteri, Cypriniformes, Cyprinidae.